GUUUCACCACGUUGGCCAGGCUGGUCUUGAACUCCUGACCUCAGGUGAUCCACCCGCCUUGGCCUCCCAAAGUGCUAGGAUUGCAGGUAUGAGCCACCGCGCCCAGCCCAAAGUAUUUAUCUGUUUAUAAAAUAUGGAUUUGUAUUUCUCCAUAGAUGUAUUCAGGUGUCUUUUUUUUCUAUCAAUCUGAUAUUAGUCCCUAACAUAGUGUAUUUUUCUUUGUCUAUUUAAACAGAGAAAGGGAGAUACAGAAAGUUGUGUGUAAACCCAAAUUGUUCUGAAAAAAGUAAGAUCUAUACCAAAAAGAAGAAGGACAAUGACCAGCUGAGGUUGUCACGUGGAACUAGAUGAAAAAACAGCCCAUUGCUCUAUAGAAAUGCAAUGGGUUGGCCCAGAAUCCCGAGAGGAGGCUGCCUACCAGAUUGGAUCUCACAUCUCUGGAAAAUGAAGCUUCUGGGUGAUCCCACUACUUUUAUUUAACUGGGUCAUGCCAUUAAUACUUACUUAGCUCAGCUCUAUGCCAGGCCCUGUCCUAGGACCUAGAGAUGCAACAGUGAAUGCAACAGACAAAAAUACCUGCCCUCACAAAUGUUACAGUUGAAAGAGAGUGGGGAUAAAAGACAGACAGUAGACCAAAGAAAUAGGUAAAAAAAAAAUGUGUAUGAUUUGUUAUAUAAUGUUAAGAGCUAUAGAGAACAAUGAUACAGAGAAGGGAGACAGGGAAUGCCCACGUGGGGUUGCGAUUUUAAUCGGAGGUGGUCAGAGAAAGCUUCAAGGAGAGGGCGACAGUUGAGCAACGACCUGGAGGAGAUGGGGAAGUGAGACAUGUAUCCAGAAACAUUGCCAGCAAAGGGAACAGCAGCAGGUGCAAAGGCCCUGAGAUGAAAGGGACUGGCUGGCAUGUGCAGCGGGCAGCAGGAAGGCCAGGGGCCGCAUGGAUGAAUGGGAGAGUAGCAGGAGGUGAGCUCAGUGAGGUUGUAGAUCCAGGUACAGAGAGGAAGCCGAGCACAUUGCUCCAAUCCAAGCAGAUUCUUCAACUUCAUCUUCAGCUUUCCCAGACAGCUCCAUGAGGUGGAAGCCACCAAAUCCACCACUGCUUGCACUCAAGGAAGGUAAAUGGAUUUCAGCUGUGGCUCUUGAGGAAACAUGUGCCCAAGUCCAAACCAGUCAAAGCAUUCCAUAUCCCUAGCUACAGAGAUUUGUUCCUGGAGGGCGUGUGGAUCUGAUCCAGUCAGAGAGAACCUCAGGACUCUGGUGGAAAUGCUGGGAUAGAGACGUUCUCUCCCUCUGGAUAGUAUAGUAUGUCAAGUUAAGAGUCAAGGCCCAAGCUCCACAGCACCGAGA
RNAcentral lists this long non-coding RNA (1344 nucleotides) under Homo sapiens (human). RNAcentral describes it as "HSALNT0072008". Lineage: Eukaryota; Metazoa; Chordata; Mammalia; Primates; Hominidae. The record is from RNAcentral.